This 253-nucleotide ribosomal RNA is filed under the name uncultured bacterium. RNAcentral describes it as "partial 16S ribosomal RNA". It matches the Rfam family "Bacterial small subunit ribosomal RNA", at positions 524 to 776 of the family's 1533-position model. The record is from RNAcentral.
UACGGAGGGAGCUAGCGUUGCUCGGAAUCACUGGGCGUAAAGGGUGCGUAGGCGGCUUGGUAAGUUGGGUGUGAAAGCCCCGGGCUCAGCCCGGGAAGGGCACUCGAAACUGCCGAGCUGGAGUGCCGGAGGGGAGAGUGGAAUUCCUGGUGUAGCGGUGAAAUGCGUAGAUAUCAGGAGGAAUACCGGUGGCGAAAGCGACUCUCUGGACGGCAACUGACGCUGAGGCACGAAAGCGUGGGGAGCAAACAGG